Molecule: long non-coding RNA, 1322 nt
Organism: Cavia porcellus (domestic guinea pig)
Lineage: Eukaryota; Metazoa; Chordata; Mammalia; Rodentia; Caviidae
Exons: 2
Source: RefSeq, a predicted model, not a curated record
UCGCAUGCCUUCCGAUAACACAAAGCCCCGCUUUGCAGCAUGUCCCUAUGGCCAUUGCUGUGCUGUGGCUUCUGCCACUACAGCUGAUCUGCACUGUCAGUAGCUUGACUGCUGGCUCUUGGGAGCCUGUGGGCGCCAAACCCAGCCCACCACCGACAGUUUAGGGCUGCUUUGUCCCUGUCAUGAAAAGAGUAGCAGCAGAGCAGGGAUUCCAGAGCAGAAAGAGGAGAGGCUCCUGGUCUUUAAUGAUACCUGUGAGCUAUGGAGUUAACCGGCCCUGGAGUCUUUCUAUUUCCACAUUUCUUACUAUGAAAUCAGGUGUGGAAGGCAGCAAAAGGGCUAUCUGUGCUCUGGAGGUCCACAGGAUCUGGUUGAAGGCUUGGAGCUCACUGUAAUGUCCCUCUUGAAUCUGCAUGAGGAGGCCAGGGGGUCUACACUGCAAGGCCAAAGGGCCUGUUCUGGAGGCUGAAAAGUCUGCAAAAAAUCUGCACUGGAAGCCAAGAGACGAUGCCCAGAGAGAAGGCGAAGUCUGGAGCUCCUCUGAGGAAACAGAAGUGAGCCUUCCUUCUUCCUGUUUCCUUGAUUCCAUUCAGGCUACAAUCCUGUUGGUUGCUGUCACUCACACCCAUGCUGAAUUUACCAUCUUCAGUCAGUCCCUUCAGCCACAGCCGAAACUACACUGAUCUAAUUUAGUUGGGCAUUUCUUAUCCAAGUUGAGACAGUCAGUUAGCUAUCACAGACAUAUUAAAAGAUAGCUACUUCAUAACAAGGUAAAUAGAAAUUAGAUUGAUACAGGCCAGAUGUGAUGGUGCAUGCCUAUAAGUCCAGUACUUGGGAGGCUGAGACAGGAGGAUCACUGUGAGUUUGAGGCCAGUUUAGGCUACAUAGUGAGGGCAAGGCCAAUCUGAACUACAUAGUGAGACCCUGUCUCAACAACACAAAAACAAAAACAUAAAUUGAUAUAGUAUCCAUUUUUCAAGUAUUAGAUUGGCAAUGUAAAAUUAACAAUAAACUCUUGGUAAAAGUAUAAAGGGAAGUUGGGUGUGUGAUGGUAUACAUCUGAAAUCCCAGUUACUGGGAAGGCUGAGGCAGGAGACUGCAAAUUCAAGGUCAGCCUGGGCAAUUUAGUGAGAACUUAUCUCGGAAAAAAAAAAAAAAAGUGAGGGGCUAGGAGGUUAGCACAAUGGGUUAAUGACCCUAGUUCAAUCCCAAUGUUGUAAAAAAACAAAACAACAAAUAAAAUGUAAAUAGAGAGGGGUUCUCAUGCAUUUCUAAUGAGAAAAUAAAUAUUACAACCUUAAGUAAGGUUAUUUGGAAAUAUC